This 279-nucleotide ribosomal RNA is filed under the name Triticum aestivum (bread wheat). RNAcentral's name for it is "partial small subunit ribosomal RNA". Lineage: Eukaryota; Viridiplantae; Streptophyta; Magnoliopsida; Poales; Poaceae. The record is from RNAcentral.
GAUAGCAAACACAAGGUGCAUUGGGUGUCUUGGGAGAAGAUGUGCAUGGGCAAAACGAGUGGUGGGAUGGGUUUUAGGGACUAUUAUGCUUUCAGUCAAACCCUACUAGCUAAACAAGCUUGGAGGUUGGUGAGCAACCCUGGUCCAUUAUGUGCCCGUGUGUUGCAAGCAAGAUAUUAUCCAGAUGGAGAGUUCUUGGAGCCCCCUUGUCCCAAUAGAAGUUUGUAUACUUGGAUAAACAUCAUAUGGGGCAAGGAGAUAGUUUUACUUAGGACCUAA